Non-coding RNA from Parelaphostrongylus tenuis, 73 nucleotides. NCBI's taxonomy places the organism in Eukaryota, Metazoa, Nematoda, Chromadorea, Rhabditida, Metastrongylidae. The record is from the annotation of a GenBank genome assembly.
GAGUCGGUGGUGCAACGGUUCACCACGCCCUCCCGGAAAGAGUGAGAUCUAAGUUCAAAUCCCAGCUGACGCA